This 1472-nucleotide ribosomal RNA is filed under the name uncultured Bordetella sp. RNAcentral describes it as "partial 16S-23S ribosomal RNA intergenic spacer". It matches the Rfam family "Bacterial small subunit ribosomal RNA". Lineage: Bacteria; Pseudomonadati; Pseudomonadota; Betaproteobacteria; Burkholderiales; Alcaligenaceae. The record is from RNAcentral.
GGUUCGAUCCUGGCUCAGAUUGAACGCUGGCGGGAUGCUUUACACAUGCCGAACGGCAGCACGGACUUCGGUCUGGUGGCGAGUGGCGAACGGGUGAGUAAUGUAUCGAACGUGCCUAGUAGCGGGGAUAACUACGCGAAAGCGUAGCUAAUACCGCACAUUGCCCUUCGGGAAAGCGGGGGACCUUCGCCCGCACUAUUAGAGCGGCCGAUAUCGUGGAUUAGCUAGUUGGUGGGGUAACGGCUCACCAAGGCGACGAUCCGUAGCUGGUUUGAGAGGACGACCAGCCACACUGGGACUGAGACACGGCCCAGACUCACGGGAGGCAGCAGUGGGGAAUUUUGGAGCAAUGGGGGAAACCCCUGAUCCAGCCAUCCCGGCGUGUGCGAUGAAGGCCUUCGGGCGAAAAGCACUUUUGGCAGGAAAGAAACGGUACGGGAUAACACCGUGCAACUGACGGUACCUGCAGAAUAAGCACCGGCUAACUACGUGCCAGCAGCCGCGGUAAUACGUAGGGUGCAAGCGUUAAUCGGAAUUACUGGGUAAAGCGUGCGCAGGCGGUUCGGAAAGAAAGAUGUGAAACUUCAGAGCUUAACUUUGAACUGCAUUUUUAACUACCGAGCUAGAGGUCAGAGGGAGGUGGAAUUCUGCGUGUAGCAGUGAAAUGCGUAGAUAUGCGGAGGAACACCGAUGGCGAAGGCAGCCUCCUUAGAUAACAUUGACGCUCAUGCACGAAAGCGUGGGGAGCAAACAGGAUUAGAUACCCUGGUAGUCCACGCCCUAAACGAUGUCAACUAGCUGUUGGGGCCUUCGGGCCUGCAGCGCAGCUAACGUUAUGGUUGACCGCCUGGGGAGUACGGUCGCAAGAGGAUUAAAACCCCAAAGGAAUUGACGACCCGCACAAGCGGUGGAUGAUGUGGAUUAAUUCGAUGCAACGCGAAAACCUUACCUACCCUUGAUAUGUCUGAAUCAGAAGAGAUUUGGGAGUGCUCGCAAGAGAACCGGAACACAGGUGCUGCAUGGCCGUCGUCAGCUCGUGUCGUGGAGAUGCUGUUGAGCCCGCAACGAGCGCAACCUUUGUCAUUAGUUGAGCAUGAAAGUGGGGCAAUCUAAUGAGACUGCUGCAGACAAACUGAGGAAGGUGGGAUGCUUUUAUGUCAAGUCCCCAAUCUUGGCGGGUAGGGCUUCGCACGUCAAGUACAAUGCGCCCGGGACAGAGGGUCGCCAACCCGCGAGGGGGAGCCAAUCCCAGAAACCCGAUCGUAGUCCGGAUCGGGUAGUCUGCAACCUGGACUGCAGGAAGUCGGAAUCGCCAGUAAUCGCGGAUCAGCAGCGUCGCGUGAAUACGUUCGGGUCUUGUGCCACCGCCUGGUCACACCAUGGGAGUGGGUUUACCAGAAGUAGUUAGCCUAACCGUAAGGAGGGCGAUUACCACGUAGGAUUCAUGACUGGGUGAAGUCGUAACAAGGUAG